GCUGUGCAGAUAUCAGACAUUUCUCUCAUCACAGAAAUUUCCAUUGACCAGUACUGUUCUAGAAGAACAUUUUUUAAUCCUUUCUCACCCAGUACAUUUGACAAGGAAGCAUGCAUCGAUAAACUAGAGGUUCUCUGCCUCCGCUGGUUCCAGACAUCAUGAAUUCCAGACCUACUGGGACACGUCCCAUUUAUUUGGCCCCAGGAGCUGCGGGCCUACAUACGACCUAAGUCUCAAGAGCCAAGAAACGCAGCACGUUGUUACUAAUGGCAAGAACACCGUAGUUAUGGAGGACUUGAUAUGCGGCCAUCCCGGUGGGAACAUGCGCCUGUACUUUGAGAAACUCCUUUUCACAGAGGAGGAAAACAGAAGUCCAAAGAAGUAAAGUAACUUGCCCAAACUGUCAACAUAGGCGGCUGUGAAUCAAAGUCUACCAGAUUAGACAGCCUGAGCUCUGUAACACA
Long non-coding RNA from Ailuropoda melanoleuca (giant panda), 464 nucleotides. RefSeq lists it as uncharacterized. Lineage: Eukaryota; Metazoa; Chordata; Mammalia; Carnivora; Ursidae. The record is from RefSeq and is a predicted model, not a curated record. The transcript is spliced from 3 exons.